Molecule: ribosomal RNA, 400 nt
Filed under: uncultured bacterium
Lineage: Bacteria
Description: bacterial SSU rRNA
Rfam family: Bacterial small subunit ribosomal RNA
Source: RNAcentral
GAAUAUUGGACAAUGGGCGAAAGCCUGAUCCAGCAAUGCCGCGUGAGUGAUGAAGGCCUUAGGGUUGUAAAGCUCUUUUACCCGGGAUGAUAAUGACCGUACCUGAAGAAGAAGCCCCGGCUAACUUCGUGCCAGCAGCCGCGGUAAUACGAAGGGGGCUAGCGUUGUUCGGAAUUACUGGGCGUAAAGCGCACGUAGGCGGAUUUUUAAGUCAGGUGGGAAAUCCCGGGGCUCAACCUCGGAACUGCAUUUGAAACUGGAAGUCUUGAGACCAGGAGAGGUUAGCGGAAUACCGAGUGUAGAGGUGAAAUUCGUAGAUAUUCGGUGGAACACCAGUGGCGAAGGCGGCUAACUGGACUGGUACUGACGCUGAGGUGCGAAAGUGUGGGGAGCAAACAGG